CACGUAGGGGGCAAGCGUUUGUCCGGAUUUAUUGGGCGUAAAGAGCUCGUAGGUGGCUCGGUAAGUCGGGUGUGAAAUUUCGAGGCUCAACCUCGAAACGCCACCUGAUACUGCUGUGGCUUGAGUCCGGUAGGGGAGCGUGGAAUUCCUGGUGUAGCGGUGAAAUGCGCAGAUAUCAGGAGGAACACCGGUGGCGAAGGCGGUUCUCUGGGACGGUACUGACGCUGAGACGCGAAAGCGUGGGGAGCGAACAGG
RNAcentral lists this ribosomal RNA (255 nucleotides) under uncultured bacterium. RNAcentral describes it as "partial 16S ribosomal RNA". It matches the Rfam family "Bacterial small subunit ribosomal RNA", at positions 524 to 776 of the family's 1533-position model. The record is from RNAcentral.